This is a long non-coding RNA of Strongylocentrotus purpuratus (purple sea urchin), 1275 nucleotides long. RefSeq lists it as uncharacterized. The transcript is spliced from 3 exons. The record is from RefSeq and is a predicted model, not a curated record. Lineage: Eukaryota; Metazoa; Echinodermata; Echinoidea; Camarodonta; Strongylocentrotidae.
UAAACUACUGUGUCUGUAGUGGUAGAGGAUUGGUGUAAUCCGUCUAUACCUGUGUUGAACAGCUACUGAGGAUAACUACGGUCUUAUACUCUUGGAGUAGGCACCCUAAAAUGUUCCCCGCUCGAUGGAACAUUCAAAUUCAGGUCACAACUCCGUCAGGUUAAUGCCGCUCUGCUGCUACCCGGCUCUCAGCCUAGGAGUGUGGACCCCCGGAUUUGAGUUAGACGUCUGGUGACCUGAGGUCAACUAUUAGCAUUCAGAGCGUUGCUGCUCAAUCUAGCCGAGUCUUUUUCCCCCUCAUUCUUUCGUUCUUUCUCGCUCUUUCAUCCUCUCUACGUGUCUCUCCUCAAUGGGUGCUUCACAACGCAGUCGGAGAGGAACUCGGUUGUUUUCUGCUUCUUGCCCGGCGUAGAAAUUGGCGCCCAUUUUGGGGGUGGAAGGCGCGUGCUGCCGCCGAGACGAUCGCAAGCCAGGUAACAUGAAUUCUCUGUGAAUGUUCUUGUUGACUGCUCAUUCAGACUUCUUUGCUGUUGUAUCCGUGUGAGCCACAUGUGUAGCCAGCGGAGAGUAGUGGUACGGGCGACCCUUUUCUCUCUCUCGUUCUAAGCAUGGGGGAGCCGUACAUAGCUAGUAUACAGCCGUGCUGUACAUGAGGAUUCAAUGUUAGAUUACACGGACUACUGCAGCCUGUGAUGAAUUGCCUAUCCUACCUAUAUGGAUCUACAUGUACCUAUACACGGCCACGUCUAGGACGUUUCUUUUUGCUCGUUCGCCUUGUACAGUGAAAGGCGUCUAGUAGAUCUCGAUUAACAGCUGGAACCUAAUGGAAUUUAUUGUGGAAUAAAUCCGGUUUUAAUGUCCGUCUUUUUUUUGAACUACCAGUCAAAACAAAUGAAGCUCCAUCUUGGAUCUUAAUAUCAAGGAAUUCUAGGAUCUAUGUGGAUAUACUCAGUUAGGACUAGACCAGCAUAAAAGGUAAGUUCCCUAUAGACCAAAGUUUUUGAUUGUUUCUUUUUAUAUGAGGAAUAUCCAUAUCUCUGCUGUCUAAAUGGUUGUGAAAUCUUCUCUGGCAACAUUAUUUUACUCCAAUCAGAUUAUUAUGUCAAAGGUAUAGGGUGAUGGGAAUGGGCUGCAAUUGUUUGUCUUUUAUUCUAAGGUUUAAAAAGUUUUAGUUGGGGUAAGGUGUAGGGUAGGUGUAGGUGCUGGUGUUUAGAACUUUGGCUUAGACUUAGGGUUAGGGUCAGGGUAAGGUUAGGGUUUGGGUCAGGGUAAGGU